Molecule: ribosomal RNA, 2668 nt
Filed under: Staphylococcus aureus
Lineage: Bacteria; Bacillati; Bacillota; Bacilli; Caryophanales; Staphylococcaceae
Description: partial 23S ribosomal RNA
Rfam family: Bacterial large subunit ribosomal RNA
Source: RNAcentral
AGAUUAAGUUAUUAAGGGCGCACGGUGGAUGCCUUGGCACUAGAAGCCGAUGAAGGACGUUACUAACGACGAUAUGCUUUGGGGAGCUGUAAGUAAGCUUUGAUCCAGAGAUUUCCGAAUGGGGAAACCCAGCAUGAGUUAUGUCAUGUUAUCGAUAUGUGAAUACAUAGCAUAUCAGAAGGCACACCCGGAGAACUGAAACAUCUUAGUACCCGGAGGAAGAGAAAGAAAAUUCGAUUCCCUUAGUAGCGGCGAGCGAAACGGGAAGAGCCCAAACCAACAAGCUUGCUUGUUGGGGUUGUAGGACACUCUAUACGGAGUUACAAAGGACGACAUUAGACGAAUCAUCUGGAAAGAUGAAUCAAAGAAGGUAAUAAUCCUGUAGUCGAAAAUGUUGUCUCUCUUGAGUGGAUCCUGAGUACGACGGAGCACGUGAAAUUCCGUCGGAAUCUGGGAGGACCAUCUCCUAAGGCUAAAUACUCUCUAGUGACCGAUAGUGAACCAGUACCGUGAGGGAAAGGUGAAAAGCACCCCGGAAGGGGAGUGAAAUAGAACCUGAAACCGUGUGCUUACAAGUAGUCAGAGCCCGUUAAUGGGUGAUGGCGUGCCUUUUGUAGAAUGAACCGGCGAGUUACGAUUUGAUGCAAGGUUAAGCAGUAAAUGUGGAGCCGUAGCGAAAGCGAGUCUGAAUAGGGCGUUUAGUAUUUGGUCGUAGACCCGAAACCAGGUGAUCUACCCUUGGUCAGGUUGAAGUUCAGGUAACACUGAAUGGAGGACCGAACCGACUUACGUUGAAAAGUGAGCGGAUGAACUGAGGGUAGCGGAGAAAUUCCAAUCGAACCUGGAGAUAGCUGGUUCUCUCCGAAAUAGCUUUAGGGCUAGCCUCAAGUGAUGAUUAUUGGAGGUAGAGCACUGUUUGGACGAGGGGCCCCUCUCGGGUUACCGAAUUCAGACAAACUCCGAAUGCCAAUUAAUUUAACUUGGGAGUCAGAACAUGGGUGAUAAGGUCCGUGUUCGAAAGGGAAACAGCCCAGACCACCAGCUAAGGUCCCAAAAUAUAUGUUAAGUGGAAAAGGAUGUGGCGUUGCCCAGACAACUAGGAUGUUGGCUUAGAAGCAGCCAUCAUUUAAAGAGUGCGUAAUAGCUCACUAGUCGAGUGACACUGCGCCGAAAAUGUACCGGGGCUAAACAUAUUACCGAAGCUGUGGAUUGUCCUUUGGACAAUGGUAGGAGAGCGUUCUAAGGGCGUUGAAGCAUGAUCGUAAGGACAUGUGGAGCGCUUAGAAGUGAGAAUGCCGGUGUGAGUAGCGAAAGACGGGUGAGAAUCCCGUCCACCGAUUGACUAAGGUUUCCAGAGGAAGGCUCGUCCGCUCUGGGUUAGUCGGGUCCUAAGCUGAGGCCGACAGGCGUAGGCGAUGGAUAACAGGUUGAUAUUCCUGUACCACCUAUAAUCGUUUUAAUCGAUGGGGGGACGCAGUAGGAUAGGCGAAGCGUGCGAUUGGAUUGCACGUCUAAGCAGUAAGGCUGAGUAUUAGGCAAAUCCGGUACUCGUUAAGGCUGAGCUGUGAUGGGGAGAAGACAUUGUGUCUUCGAGUCGUUGAUUUCACACUGCCGAGAAAAGCCUCUAGAUAGAAAAUAGGUGCCCGUACCGCAAACCGACACAGGUAGUCAAGAUGAGAAUUCUAAGGUGAGCGAGCGAACUCUCGUUAAGGAACUCGGCAAAAUGACCCCGUAACUUCGGGAGAAGGGGUGCUCUUUAGGGUUAACGCCCAGAAGAGCCGCAGUGAAUAGGCCCAAGCGACUGUUUAUCAAAAACACAGGUCUCUGCUAAACCGUAAGGUGAUGUAUAGGGGCUGACGCCUGCCCGGUGCUGGAAGGUUAAGAGGAGUGGUUAGCUUCUGCGAAGCUACGAAUCGAAGCCCCAGUAAACGGCGGCCGUAACUAUAACGGUCCUAAGGUAGCGAAAUUCCUUGUCGGGUAAGUUCCGACCCGCACGAAAGGCGUAACGAUUUGGGCACUGUCUCAACGAGAGACUCGGUGAAAUCAUAGUACCUGUGAAGAUGCAGGUUACCCGCGACAGGACGGAAAGACCCCGUGGAGCUUUACUGUAGCCUGAUAUUGAAAUUCGGCACAGCUUGUACAGGAUAGGUAGGAGCCUUUGAAACGUGAGCGCUAGCUUACGUGGAGGCGCUGGUGGGAUACUACCCUAGCUGUGUUGGCUUUCUAACCCGCACCACUUAUCGUGGUGGGAGACAGUGUCAGGCGGGCAGUUUGACUGGGGCGGUCGCCUCCUAAAAGGUAACGGAGGCGCUCAAAGGUUCCCUCAGAAUGGUUGGAAAUCAUUCAUAGAGUGUAAAGGCAUAAGGGAGCUUGACUGCGAGACCUACAAGUCGAGCAGGGUCGAAAGACGGACUUAGUGAUCCGGUGGUUCCGCAUGGAAGGGCCAUCGCUCAACGGAUAAAAGCUACCCCGGGGAUAACAGGCUUAUCUCCCCCAAGAGUUCACAUCGACGGGGAGGUUUGGCACCUCGAUGUCGGCUCAUCGCAUCCUGGGGCUGUAGUCGGUCCCAAGGGUUGGGCUGUUCGCCCAUUAAAGCGGUACGCGAGCUGGGUUCAGAACGUCGUGAGACAGUUCGGUCCCUAUCCGUCGUGGGCGUAGGAAAUUUGAG